UUUUCUAGUGAAUAAAGUUAAUUAUAAGAUUAAAUCAAACUUUCAAAAUACACCGAAAAGCACAGUAACUCAAAAUACUCACUGUAACCAAUAACAAAAAAUAGUUAAUCUAACAAAAUGUGGCAAAAAAAAAUUCUUUAUCGUAACUGGGAUAUUCCUGCACACGUAAAAGUGUGAUUAUUGGUGAUUUGAGACAAUUAGUGCCUUGCAAAAAUAUUAAUCUUUUUGUGCCUGUAUAAAGGUUUUCACAUUUUGUCACAUUAUUACCACAAACUAUAAAUUGUAUUGUGAUUUUGUGUCAUAUACCAACUAAUUUAAUUUGAAACACUAAAAUAAAAUUAAAUGAAUGGGGCAGCAGUUCCUCUUUUAGCAUAAGAGCAACCCUAAGCAUACAAUAACUCUACAGUGGUUUAGAUUAAGCGUGCUCAUUUUACAGAAUGGCCCAGUCAAAGUCCAGAACUAACUACAACUGUUGCAGACAUCUCUUUUCAACCCAAAAUUAUGCGCUACUUUGUGCAAAAUACCAAUAAAUCACAUUGCAGUUUGAAGUUGUAACCUGAAGGUGUAAAUACGUCAGCACUAUUUUUUUGAGCGUAGGGACACGACUGUUUAGUCCAAGUGCCAAUGACUUGUUUUAAAUCACCGGAUAAGAACGAAGGGGGGAAAAAUCCUUCCACUGACAACAAUAAAACAUAGGACAUAAUUUACUUCUGAGUAACACUACAGUGUCAUCCUCAUAAAUAACAACUGUGUUGCCGUGGCGACCAGCAGAGAAAAAAAACAGAAAACAAACAUUAAAAGCAGACAUUAAUGUAACGGCUGCAUGGCAGCCUCCAUAGAGCUCUGAGCUGUUGUGUUGUGGCUGGUUUAUGUUACUAACCAAACCUUGGACGUCCUGUUCGUCCUGCCAGCAGAGCGAGUCUGUCUGUCUCUCUGUCCAACUGUCUGGACUGGAGUUCACAGCAGGCAGAGAAAAACAAAUGCCACUCAGGUUAAACUCUGAAGUAUCGGGGGCAUUUUUUUCCAAUUGUGUUUCAGGCUGGUAUGCAACCAGUCCCUGGAAAAGUAGAUAAUCCUACGUUUAAAGUUAUUGUACAUUUGUCUCAAGUAUCCUGCUCUUCUCAAGAAUGAAUGUAAGAGUCCUCUGGUAUUUUCUUCUCCACUACGCACACAACUCACUCGCAAAUCAGGAUUCUUGCUCUCCCGGGAUUGUAAAGUUGCAAAUGUGAGGGCUUUUAUCUGUGGGUGGCAGAUAUUACGAUUAUUUAUCAUUUCCUUAUCCAUUAAUCGUUUUGUCAUCAGAAAAGAGACUCCUUUGUGUAGAAGGUGAGGAAACCACAGUGUAAAACUCAAGGGUGUUAUAACCAGUGCCAUUUCAACAGUGCUGGUGUCCCAGUCGGCGCCUGAGUCUUUUCCUUCAACACCAUCACCCAACACCCCCACCAUGAGCCGGCCCUCACAUGUUUGCAGCAUCAUAAACGAACGUUAUUGAUCUAUUUCUACAGCGUCAGCCAAAACUGUGACUAUUUUUAUUAGGAUUUUAAGUCUUUAGAUUUUAUGACUGUUCAGGAAGAAAAUAAGUCAAGUGUUAACUAAAAAAGUAGUAUGUAGUUUUGUUAUUUAUUUAUUAUUUUUUCCCUUAGCAAUACUUUGGAGAAUAAACUAUUUCAUUAAUGAGCUUCAGGUCUUUGGGUUGUGGCUGCACCAGCUUCGAACAUAUAGUGAAACGAGGCAAAAUCACAACGUUUUACUAAACUCACAGAGGAUUGAAUGAUUGAACAAAGAAAAUCUCAAACACCCGUGCCUGGAGAUCAACCCUGGAUGACUCUGAUAAAGGGAGCAGAGUGACUGAACUGUGCAACAGUUUUCAGUGCAUGCCUGGGACUGGGAAAAGAUGGCAUCCACUGCCAAACAAGAACAGCACAAAGCCCUGACUCGGGGGCUGGGAAACAGAGCCCACAGAACAAAUGAGAAGUAAACACGCAGCCACAGGAAGCCAUUUACUGCAGCAGGGGCCAAUUAGGCCCCAGCAGGUGUUCGGGACUGGGUCCUCUUUGGUCCUGCCUCACCUCCGUCUGGCAGAGCGCCGACCCAGGCUGAGGAAACAACGGGCAGUUUCAUUUGCUCAGCAAAGUAUUCCUACAGGAGGGCCCCUAAAAUCCUUUAUUGUGCCCCCUUUGUCCUCUGCCCCACCCCCUCCAAGUACAAGUCAUUAGAGAAGACAAUUACAUCCUCCUUAUGAAGCUUGACUUUUACAGGAGGGGAAGAUAAGACAGGAUCUCUCUCAUGGAAGACCCCCGGAGCGUAUUGCUGUCUUCACACCCAGACAGAAGUGAGACGGGACGGUCAAAAUCAAAGUCAAUCCCCAGGGAAGAGAGAGCAGACACAACAGGGACUGAAAUUCACAUCCAUGAAGGACCCAAAUGAUACUGUCUCUUAAAAAUAAGUGGCCCUCCAGCUGUUUAUUACAUCUUCAUGCAUUGUUCCUCUUGAACUAAAUAAACAAACCUUGGCUGGUAUCGUUUA
Poecilia reticulata (guppy) is the source of this 2526-nucleotide non-coding RNA. Lineage: Eukaryota; Metazoa; Chordata; Actinopteri; Cyprinodontiformes; Poeciliidae. The record is from RefSeq and is a predicted model, not a curated record.